This is a long non-coding RNA of Octopus bimaculoides (California two-spot octopus), 476 nucleotides long. RefSeq lists it as uncharacterized. The record is from RefSeq and is a predicted model, not a curated record. NCBI's taxonomy places the organism in Eukaryota, Metazoa, Mollusca, Cephalopoda, Octopoda, Octopodidae.
CAUUUCCAAAUGACCUUAAAACAAAGCUCGCAUCAGAUGUCAGUUGUUCUUUUCAAGUUUUGUUUGUAAUGGCGGUGAAAGCUCUUCAGAAUGUGUCUUAGUUUGAUCGACAUUGCAUAGUGUUAUAGCAUUUUAAACAACGAAACAAAGAAAGAAAAGAAGCAAAUUUUUCUGCAGAAAGCUGGCGUUGGCCGAAUCAAUAUGGUAUCAUAUUGUUACUUGAAAGAACAACGUUAUUUUAAAGAAAUGAUGUUGUUGCCGCUACAGCUGCUACUUCUAUUGCUGUUACUACCACUACUGAUACCGCGGUUACUACUGGUACUGAUAUUGCAACUCCUAAGGUUGCUGCUGAUGUUGCUGCUGCUGCUGUUGUUUCUGCUGUCUCUGCUGUUGCUGCUGCUGCUGCAACCUUUUGCCCAGCUGCAUAUGUUGACGUUUAUAUAAACUGUCUCAUGGAAGGCAAGGAAAAAUAAAUA